AUGGUCCUGUUAUCAGGAAUUGAACUAUUCAUUAUAAAGUACAAGAUGAACAGUGGGAAAGCAAUUGGCCCAGCUCAGUGUUUGGUACCAGUUAGGCAACAUCUCGGCAACAGACUCCAGUAUUCUUGCCUGCAAAAUCCCAUGAACAGAGGAGCCUGGGGGGUUACAGUCCAUGGGGUCACAAAGAGUCAGAUACAACUGAGCACACACACACACAUGCAACAACAGCUACUGAGGCAGGUGGCUCUGGGGACAAAUCUUGUGUGUACUGAGGAUCGGGAGGGAGCUAAGGACAGGAAAGCACCACCAUGUGGGACAAAUCAUGGCUGCCUAGACUCGCCCAUUCAGCAAGAUCAGUGGCGGGGAUGUUUCUACCUAACAAAGGUCUGUGGCAUAUCGGGAUGUGCUGUCCAUUACUGGGAUGUGCUGUUCCUAGCUAUGAAAAGAAGAGAAGCGAAAGGCAAAGGAGAAAAGGAAAGAUAUACCUAUUUGAAUGCAGAGUUCCAAAGAAUAGCAAGGAGAGAUAAGAACGCCUUCCUCAGUGAUCAAUGCAAAGAAAUAGAGGAAAACAAUAGAAUGGGAAAGACUAGAGAUCUCAUCAAGAAAAUUAGAGAUACCAAAGGAACAUUUCAUGCAAAGAUGGGCUCAAUAAAGGACAAAAAUGGUAUGGACCUAACAGAAGCAGACGAUAUUAAGAAGAGGUGGCAAGGAUACACAGAACUAUACAAAAAAGACCUUCAUGACCUAGAUAUGUACCUAGAGCCAGACAUCCUGGAAUGUGAAGUCAAGUGGGCCUUAGGAAGCAUCACUAUGAACAAAGCUAGUGGAGGUGAUAGAAUUCCAGUUGAGCUAUUUCAAAUCCUAAAAGAUUAUGCUGUGCAAGUGCUGCACUCAAUAUGCCAGCAAAUUUGGAAAACUCAGCAGUGGCCACAGGACUGGAAGUCAGUUUUCAUUUCAAUCCCAAAGAAAGGCAAUGCCAAAGAAUGCUCAAACUACUGCACAAUUGCACUCAUCUCACACGCUAGCAAAGUAAUGCUCAAAAUUCUCCAAACCAGGCUUCAACAGUACAUGAACCAUGAACUUCCAGAUGUUCAAGCUGGUUUUAGAAAAGGCAGAGGAACCAGAGAUCAAAUUGCCAACAUGGGUUGGUUCAUCGAAAAAGCAAGAGUUCAAGAAAAACAUCUAUUUUUAUUGACUAUGCCAAAGCCUUUGACUGUGUGGAUCACAAUAAACUGUGGAAAAUUAUGA
This is a long non-coding RNA of Bos indicus x Bos taurus (hybrid cattle), 1248 nucleotides long. The record is from Ensembl. NCBI's taxonomy places the organism in Eukaryota, Metazoa, Chordata, Mammalia, Artiodactyla, Bovidae.